UAGGGAAUAUUGCAAAAUGGGCGAAAGCCCGAUGCAGCAACGCCGCGUGGGCGAUGAAGGCCUUCGGGUCGUAAAGCCCUUUUUGAGGGGAUGAGGAAGGACAGUACCCUCAGAAUAAGCCUCGGCUAACUACGUGCCAGCAGCCGCGGUAAAACGUAGGAGGCGAGCGUUAUCCGGAUUUACUGGGCGUAAAGCGCGUGCAGGCGGAUUGGAGAGUUGGAUGUGAAAGCUCCCGGCUUAACUGGGAGAGGUCGUUCAAUACUUCCAGUCUUGAGUGCAGGAGAGGGAAGUGGAAUUCCAGGUGUAGUGGUGAAAUGCGUAGAUAUCCGGAGGAACACCAGUGGCGAAAGCGGCUUCCUGGACUGUAACUGACGCUCAGACGCGAAAGCUAGGGUAGCAAACG
Molecule: ribosomal RNA, 403 nt
Filed under: uncultured bacterium
Lineage: Bacteria
Description: bacterial SSU rRNA
Rfam family: Bacterial small subunit ribosomal RNA
Source: RNAcentral